RNAcentral lists this ribosomal RNA (485 nucleotides) under uncultured bacterium. RNAcentral's name for it is "partial 16S ribosomal RNA". It matches the Rfam family "Bacterial small subunit ribosomal RNA", at positions 30 to 507 of the family's 1533-position model. The record is from RNAcentral.
AUUGAACGCUGGCGGCAGGCUUAACACAUGCAAGUCGAGCGGGGAAAGGUAGCUUGCUACCUGACCUAGCGGCGGACGGGUGAGUAAUGCUUAGGAAUCUGCCUAUUAGUGGGGGACAACAUCUCGAAAGGGAUGCUAAUACCGCAUACGUCCUACGGGAGAAAGCAGGGGACCUUCGGGCCUUGCGCUAAUAGAUGAGCCUAAGUCGGAUUAGCUAGUUGGUGGGGUAAAGGCCUACCAAGGCGACGAUCUGUAGCGGGUCUGAGGGGAUGAUCCGCCACACUGGGACUGAGACACGGCCCAGACUCCUACGGGAGGCAGCAGUGGGGAAUAUUGGACAAUGGGGGGAACCCUGAUCCAGCCAUGCCGCGUGUGUGAAGAAGGCCUUUUGGUUGUAAAGCACUUUAAGCGAGGAGGAGGCUACCGAGAUUAAUACUCUUGGAUAGUGGACGUUACUCGCAGAAUAAGCACCGGCUAACUCUGUG